UUUUACCGGGGUUGGCUGCCCAGUAGUCAUAUGCUGUUCUCAAAGAUUAAGCCAUGCAUGUCUAAGUACAUGCCGUAUUAAGGCGAAACCGCGAAUGGCUCAUUAAAUCAGUUAUGGUUCCUUGGAUCGUACAUUACUACUUGGAUAACUGUGGCAAUUCUAGAGCUAAUACAUGCAGCAGAGCUCCGACCUUCGGGGACGAGCGCUUUUAUUAGACCAAAACCAAUCGGACCUCGUGUCCGUCCUUUGUGGUGACUCUGUAUAACUUUGGGCUGAUCGCACGGGCCCGUCCCGGCGACGUAUCCUUCAAGUGUCUGCCUUAUCAACUUUCGAUGGUAGGUUACGCGCCUACCAUGGUCGUAACGGGUAACGGGGAAUCAGGGUUCGAUUCCGGAGAGGGAGCCUGAGAAACGGCUACCACAUCCAAGGAAGGCAGCAGGCGCGCAAAUUACCCACUCCCAGAACGGGGAGGUAGUGACGAAAAAUAACAAUACGGGACUCUUUUGAGACCCCGUAAUUGGAAUGAGUACACUCUAAAUCCUUUAACGAGGAUCCAUUGGAGGGCAAGUCUGGUGCCAGCAGCCGCGGUAAUUCCAGCUCCAAUAGCGUAUAUUAAAGUUGUUGCGGUUAAAAAGCUCGUAGUUGGAUCUCAGUUCCAGACGGGUGGUCCGCCUACCGGUGGUUACUGCCUGUUCUGAACAGCCAGCCGGUUUCUCUUGAUGAUCUUCACCGGUUGUCUUGGGUGACCGGCAAGUUUACUUUGAAAAAAUUAGAGUGCUCAAAGCAGGCGUGACGCCUGAAUAAUGGUGCAUGGAAUAAUGGAAUAGGACCUCGGUUCUAUUUUGUUGGUUUUCGGAACACGAGGUAAUGAUUAAGAGGGACAGACGGGGGCAUUCGUAUUGCGACGCUAGAGGUGAAAUUCUUGGACCGUCGCAAGACGAACUACUGCGAGAUUUUGCCCAGAGA
Molecule: ribosomal RNA, 966 nt
Filed under: Clubiona coreana
Lineage: Eukaryota; Metazoa; Arthropoda; Arachnida; Araneae; Clubionidae
Description: SSU rRNA
Rfam family: Eukaryotic small subunit ribosomal RNA
Source: RNAcentral